UUCGGUUUCGGUUUCAACUUUCCCACACCGAAACCGACUCAGCCCUGACCGAAACCGAGCCGGACCGACCGAUUGACACCCCUACUUUACUCGGCCUAUCCAAACCCCAACCCAUUGUUGAAACUCUCUCGCUAUCCAAAUGCGGCGAUUCUAACUUGGUUGUGCGAAGCUCACAAUUUCAAAUUGCCUUCAUCUUUCUGAAACUCAUCUCCAUGAAGCAUACCUGCAACUCCAACAUCAUGCCUUCACUCGUGAGUUGUAUUCCUACAACGUCGUGUCUUCACUCAUGUCUUGAACUUGACUACAUUGUUGAAAACAUUUCGGGAAACAGAAACAUCAAACACCUUUUUGCAAUUCCAAAAUUUGUUUUUUAGAGCAGAAACGGCAAAACCGUUUCCACUGUUUCUAGACACAGAAACAGGAGAAAAAAAAUCAAACGGGCUGAAAAUAUGAAACUCAAAUCAAACAGAGAAUAGACACAUUUUUAAAAUCAAAAUCAAUCGAUUGAUUUUGCUUUUGAUUUAUAUUUGGUUUUAUAUUCACUUUAGAUCCUAUUUGGAUGUUUGGGCCUUCUACCAAAAAAAAAAAAAAAAAAGAUGUUUGGGCCAAUUUUUUACAUUGUCACCCGAAAAAAUGAAAAAACCCUUCACCAAACUUUUUCCAAACAUAAAAGAUGAAUAUAAUUUGUUACCCACAUUGAUUGAAAUAUUAAAAACAAUACAAUUUUACUUGAUCCCUUAUUUGGUUCAAAAAUAGGUCAUUCGGAAUUUGGAUAUGUUCAACGGUUUUAAUUAUUCAAAACAAAAUUGAACCAAAUCGGGGAAAUAUUCUAGUUUUUAAAAUCAAAAUCGAACCAAAAUGAACUGAGUAAAAGGUACGGAAGUUGGAUUCUCAUACGUACAUCCAGGUGAACAUAUGGAUCCAAACUCUCGCUAGAAAUCAGAAAUAUAUAUUAAGAAUAAAAAAAUGGAAAAUGAUACAAUGCCAAAAUGCCACUCAAAUAGGAGACGCUUCCGAAGCUACUACCCCACCUUCGACAUUGCCAUCAGCAGGGGAGAAACAAAGGGAGCACAACCUGGAAACAGGAACGAAUACUAAAAAAAUCUAUAAUGAGGACCCAUAAGGGCGUCCUUCUCCAGCUCCAUCCGAAUUAAAGCAGGCCAAGAUAGAUUGAGCCGGUACCCAAGAUGAUCUGCACACCGAAGCCGUGCCUUUACAUAUAUCACAAGGCCAUGUAUGGAUAGGAAAGAUACAUUAUCCUAUUUUAAUAAUAGGAACUUGGUCCAUAACACGUGGCAAGAGUGAAGUACACAUUAAGACUUUGUUUUUACCCAAAAUACAGCAAGAUUGGCUUGUUUGGCCAACUAUUGGGUGUCACUGGUAGGUGUGAGACCCACUAGUGUCACCCACCUGUUGGGGUUUUGUGGACCCCAGCAUGUCCGGCUUGGAUGAGCAUGUGUGUCUCAGUCUGCUCGUCGUAAUGUGGUCAUGUAUGCCCGAUGAUGUUAGUUACCUCGCCGAAAACGUGACUUAAUGCGUUUUGAUCCAUAAAUGGACAAAACCAAAUGGACCUUAGAAGAUAUUCAUAACGCUAGGGUAUAAAUAGCUUUUAUAACACUCUCUCCCUCAUUUAUGAUUUUUAGCAAAGUGGGUGAGAGGAGUAAAGAAGAGGGAGAAAAGAUGAAGAAGGAGAGAAAGAAGAGGAAAGAGGCUUAGCUCUUGGAUUCCGGAGCUGCAUCUUACCUUUCCAUCGCCAGAAUAGUGUCCGGUGACUUGAGAUCUUCAUUUUGAGUAUUUGAGAAGGGAAACAAAGAUUUGGAGGUUAUUGAAGUGGCAUUUGAGUUUGGGAAGAGGAUUCCAGGAUUUAGGGUUUUCCAAGUAAAGAUAUGAUUUCUUUCCCUUAAUCUUAUUGUUGUCUUAGAUCCAUAGUACCAUCAAGUAGAUGAGGCUUAGAAUGCGUGGGAAAUGAAGUGGGAAUCACUCUAUUGGGGUUCUAAGAGUUGGAAUGGAAGAAAGAAGGAAAAUAGUAAAAUCUGAGCGAACCGACUAGUGUCUGAACCGCCGAUGUGACCUACCAGUCAUGGUUAACUCCUACUUUUGUUUUAUCGGAUGUAAGCUGUGAUUUUCAUAGAAGACCCAGAUUUUCGAUUUAUAUAAUUUUUUGAUUGGGCUAAAAA
Macadamia integrifolia is the source of this 2177-nucleotide long non-coding RNA. RefSeq lists it as uncharacterized. NCBI's taxonomy places the organism in Eukaryota, Viridiplantae, Streptophyta, Magnoliopsida, Proteales, Proteaceae. The transcript is spliced from 2 exons. The record is from RefSeq and is a predicted model, not a curated record.